AACGUAGGAGACAAACGUUAUCCGGAGUUACUGGGCGUAAAGGGCGUGUAGGUGGUUUCGUAAGUCUGGCGUGAAAUUUUUCGGCUUAACUGGGAAAGGUCGUCGGAUACUGCGGAGCUAGAGGACGGUAGAGGCGUGUGGAAUUCCGGGUGUAGUGGUGAAAUGCGUAGAUAUCGAGAGGAACACCUGCGGCGAAGGCGGGUAGCUGGGCCGACACUGACGCUGAUGCGCGAAAGCCAGGGGAGCGAACGGG
This 253-nucleotide ribosomal RNA is filed under the name uncultured bacterium. RNAcentral describes it as "partial 16S ribosomal RNA". It matches the Rfam family "Bacterial small subunit ribosomal RNA", at positions 524 to 776 of the family's 1533-position model. The record is from RNAcentral.